AAUACUUAACACAUGCAAGUUACAAAUUUGGAAAAUUAUUUAGCGUGCGGGUGAGUAUAAUUAAGAACUUAACUUAACUUAAAAAUUAUAUUUAAUAAAAAAAAAAAAAUAAAAAAAAAAUUUAAUAAUAUUUAUUUUAAGAAAGGCUAUAUUGAUUAGUUAUUUGAAAAACUAAAAAAUUUUCAAGACAUUUAUCAAAAAUUGAUUUUAUCGGAUGAUCAAUCACAUUGGGAAUUAAAAAUGACUCAAAUUCUUUUUUUUUAGAAGCAGCAGUGGGGAAUUUUUCGCAAUAAACGAAAGUUUGACGAAUUAAUUUUUAAUGAAAGAAGAAGGCUAAAGAGUCGUAAAUAUCUUUUAUUAUAUAAAAAGUAUUUUAUGAUAAUUAUAAUGAAUAAGUAUCGGCUAAUUCUGUGCCAGCAGCCGCGGUAAUACAGAAGAUACAAGUGUUAUUCCAAAAUUAUUAGGCGUAAAAUGUUCUAAAAUUGCUUUUUAAAUCGUAUAUUAAAAAUAAUAAAAUUAUAAAAAUAUUCGAAAUUUUUUAGCUAGAAUUUUAUUAAAAAAAAGAGAAAUUAACGUAGUGUAAUGGUAAAAUAUAUAUAGAUUAUUAGGAACUCCAAAAUCGAAAGAAUCUUUUUUGUAAAAAUUAACAUUCAACGACGAAAGUUGGGGUAUCAAACGGGAUUAGAUACCCCAAUAGUCCCAACUGUAAACAAUUAAUACUAAUUAUUUUUUUAUAAAAUAAAAUAUGCUAACGCUAAAGUAUUUUGCCUGAGAAGUAAAUUCGCAAGAAUAAAACUCAAAGGAAUUGACGGGAAUCUAUAAAAGCGAUGGAGUAUGUGGUUUAAUUCGAUGCAGAGCGUAAAAUCUUACCAGUAUUUGAAAUGUUUUAAUUUUUAUAUAAAAAAAAAAAUAUAUAUAUAUAUACACAGGUGGUGCAUGGCUGUCGUCAGUUCGUACCGUGAGGCGUUAGGUUAAUUCCUUUAACGAACGUAAACCAAAUAUUUUUUUUAUACUAAAUAAUAAAAAAUAAAAAAUAAUAGCGAUAAGCUAUAGGAAGAUAAGGAUAACGUCAAGUCAUUAUGCCCCUAAUAUUCUGGGCUACACACGUAGUACAAUGAAUUAGACAAAAUUAAUAAAUUCGUAAGAAUAUCAUAACAUAUAAACUUAUUCUAAGUUCAGAUUGAAGACUGAAACUCGUCUUCACGAAGUCGGAAUCGCUAGUAACGUCGGUAAUUAUACGACGGUGAAUUAUAAAAAUUUAGAUUUUGUACACACUGCCCGUCACAUUUUAAAAUUGAUGAUUAUUUAAAUUUAGAUUUUUUGAGUCUCUAUAAAAUAUAUUUUCAAAAUUAUAAUGAAGUCGUA
This 1365-nucleotide ribosomal RNA is filed under the name Corynaea crassa. Its description in RNAcentral is "partial 16S ribosomal RNA". It matches the Rfam family "Bacterial small subunit ribosomal RNA". Lineage: Eukaryota; Viridiplantae; Streptophyta; Magnoliopsida; Santalales; Balanophoraceae. The record is from RNAcentral.